ACUGCCUUCUAUGUCCUGCGGAGCUAAUGAGCAAACUAGGAGCAGCUGUGCAGGCAGGUGGUAGUCAGGUGAUGAACAGAGGCUAGGAGAUCACUGAGGAGGCUUAUAGUGGGCAGGUAUGGCAGGGCUGGAUCUGUAAAAUAUUACAAUACAGACACAGAGAGAGAGCAAGUCUGGGGCUGAAGAACAUGCAAGAAAGAGAUGGAGAUACACCAUGUUCCUGCACAAACAGAGCGAUUAGCAACAUCCUGCUUGUGACAAAAAAAAAAACCAAGAUGCUCCUACUUUUGUAAACCACUUGAACUAAUUAUUGUACUGCACAUCUGUACACAUCAGGGGAGGAAUGAAAAUGUCCUGUGAGGAGUCAAGGAUGAAAGCUUUACGAGUACGAUGGAUGGGCCAAAUGUCUGGAGCAGGUAUUCAGCUCGUUGUCAGCGAGGCAGAUGCAUAGUCCCUGAGUGCUGAGCUCAGAGUUGGCUCCCAGCAGGAUGACACAACAGAUACGCAAAUGCUCCACAGAUACACGUUCACAUGGAUGACCAGUAAAUCAGGCAGCAGCCUCUGGAUCACAGCCAGAGGGACUGAGCUGAAUUCUGACUCCUAAUAAUCACCCCAUGGCUGUAUGCUGUUAGACGUAUUUGUGUGUGUGUGUGUGUGUGUGUGUGUGUGUGUAUGUGAUUUGUUUGUGUGUGUGCAUGUGGGAGCAAUAUGUGUUGGUGGGUUUUAAUGCAGUGUUGCGUGAGCAGGUGAACCAUGGGGGGUUUAAGCAACUGUGGCUGUAUGACAGAAUUCCCUCUGGCAACCUUGGAGAGAAGAAAAGGCAGAGAAAGAAGAGGAAAUAGGGAGCGAGAUGCUUGCCUAACUCCAUCUUGUACAUUAAAAGGAUCACAGGGACCUGUGUCUCAGUCUUCUAACCCCAUUUCCUCCUAACGUCUCGUUGCUCUACCUUCAUCCUCUGUCGCUCCUUUCUUCUCCAUCUCUCCCUCUUUUCAUCUGCUCUAAAGGAACCGGACAGGUGAAAACCAAUUCCCCUUAACUCUGCAUUCACUUAGCCUGUCUGCCUGCAUCAGUGGAGAUGAUGAGUCUGUCUGCAUGCAUGCAUUUUAAAAGGUCAGGUGUCAUUAGGCUUUCCCCCUUGAAGUUUCUGUAUAAACCGUGAUGUUUGGUACAAUGAUCUCUGACUCAGUCCCCAAAAAAAGAGAAUCACCAUCAAUAAAACCUUUUUUGCAUCUGUAAAAAUCAACGUCUAGUAAAAAGUUCAGAGCAACCAAAUCCCUCUGCUCCUUUUUUGACCUGUCCACUCUUCCAUAUGGGCCAUGAGGGGGCCGAGGGGAGGUGGGAGAUGUCUUUUCCAUACAGGGAAUCACAGAAGGAGGUGAGAGUACUAAGAUGUUGUGGUGUUCAAACUGAAAAGAAGAUUUGGGGUAUUGAAUAAAGCCAAAACCUUAAGCACAAACCUAGAGGUAAUGUCAGAAAGAGCGAAGAUAAAUUUGUUAAUGUUUCUUGAUCUGCAGGACACGUUGGGGAAAAAUUUGGAUAAGAG
Long non-coding RNA from Thunnus maccoyii (southern bluefin tuna), 1543 nucleotides. RefSeq lists it as uncharacterized. The transcript is spliced from 3 exons. The record is from RefSeq and is a predicted model, not a curated record. Lineage: Eukaryota; Metazoa; Chordata; Actinopteri; Scombriformes; Scombridae.